RNAcentral lists this ribosomal RNA (480 nucleotides) under uncultured bacterium. RNAcentral's name for it is "partial 16S ribosomal RNA". It matches the Rfam family "Bacterial small subunit ribosomal RNA", at positions 28 to 507 of the family's 1533-position model. The record is from RNAcentral.
GAUGAACGCUAGCGGCAGGCCUAACACAUGCAAGUCGAGGGGUAGAAGGAGCUUGCUCCUUUGAGACCGGCGCACGGGUGCGUAACGCGUAUGCAAGCUACCUUGUACAGGGGAAUAGCCCAGAGAAAUUUGGAUUAAUGCCCCAGAGUAUAUAACCUUCGCAUGUUGGUUAUAUUAAAGUUCCAACGGUACAAGAUGAGCAUGCGUCCCAUUAGUUAGUUGGUAAGGUAACGGCUUACCAAGACGAUGAUGGGUAGGGGUCCUGAGAGGGCGAUCGCCCGCCCUGGAACUGGGUCACGGACCCGGCUCCUGCGGCACGCCGCAGUCUGCAACAUUGGGCAAUGGUGGCGAGUCUGAGACAGCCAGGCCGCGUGCAGGAAGACGGUCCUAUGGAUGGUAAGAUGCUUUUAUACAGGAAAAACCCCUCCCCCGGGUGUGAGCUUGACGGUACUGUAGGAAUAAGGACCGGCUAACUCCGUG